GAUGAACGCUAGCGACAGGCUUAACACAUGCAAGUCGAGGGGCAGCACAGGUAGCAAUACCGGGUGGCGACCGGCGCACGGGUGAGUAACGCGUAUGCAACUUGCCUAUCAGAGGGGGAUAACCCGGCGAAAGUCGGACUAAUACCGCAUGAAGCAGGGGCCCCGCAUGGGGAUAUUUGCUAAAGAUUCAUCGCUGAUAGAUAGGCAUGCGUUCCAUUAGGCAGUUGGCGGGGUAACGGCCCACCAAGGCAUCGAUGGAUAGGGGUUCUGAGAGGAAGGUCCCCCACAUUGGAACUGAGACACGGUCCAA
RNAcentral lists this ribosomal RNA (310 nucleotides) under uncultured bacterium. RNAcentral's name for it is "bacterial SSU rRNA". It matches the Rfam family "Bacterial small subunit ribosomal RNA", at positions 28 to 334 of the family's 1533-position model. The record is from RNAcentral.